This 254-nucleotide ribosomal RNA is filed under the name uncultured bacterium. RNAcentral describes it as "partial 16S ribosomal RNA". It matches the Rfam family "Bacterial small subunit ribosomal RNA", at positions 524 to 776 of the family's 1533-position model. The record is from RNAcentral.
CACGUAGGGUGCGAGCGUUGUCCGGAAUUAUUGGGCGUAAAGAGCUUGUAGGCGGUUUGUCGCGUCUGCUGUGAAAAUCCGGGGCUCAACCCCGGACUUGCAGUGGGUACGGGCAGACUAGAGUGUGGUAGGGGAGACUGGAAUUCCUGGUGUAGCGGUGAAAUGCGUAGAUAUCUGGAGGAACACCGGUGGCGAAGGCGACAUCCUGGACCAACACUGACGCUGAGUGAGCGAAAGCCAGGGGAGCAAACGGG